Long non-coding RNA from Gasterosteus aculeatus aculeatus (three-spined stickleback), 20965 nucleotides. Lineage: Eukaryota; Metazoa; Chordata; Actinopteri; Perciformes; Gasterosteidae. The record is from Ensembl.
CUCUUUAAAAAAAUGGCUCCCCCUUCUGUUAACACCAACGAAGUUACUUUGGCACAUGGCCCCUCCUGCACCGGGUGCAAGGUCCCUUGACCAGUGGAAGGUAAUUAGCAGCAGAAUACAUUAAAUCAGAUCCAUUUUAGCAUCCGGUCCGGUCCCCCGUGCACGGUGCGUGCACACUUGUAGUAUAUUGUAUUCUACACACUGAGCAGAGCUGUUGCCUAGCAAUGCAACAAGUCUCCGUAGACACAGGAGGCCUAUGAGAGCAAGGACUGUGGAGCUGCUUCGAACUCUGCUCCAUACGACUGGAUGAAAAUAAUUCAGUAGCAAACUCGGCUGUUAACCACGUUCAUGUGAGUUGUUCUGGUUACUUUGUGUCCACCUCUUAAAAAGAAAGGCUGCACUCGUUUCCCGUUUGGUGGGAAAUGUGACUCCAGACACUUCUGCAACACUUUUGACCUCACGCGUUGACCUAAAGGGACUCUUCUAAACGUGCAACUUCUCUGCAGUCCGUGUUACACGACAUCAUUUUAUCGUUAGUAAUAGUAUCAAUGCACACGGUGUAAAACAGAUUUACCAUAAGAAUCUUUUUCCAUAAAAAAGCAGUAUUUUCUUAGUGCAAUCUGGGGAAAUGCAGAUUGAUAGCGCAGCAAUUAAACUUCAUUUGUUGUUCCUGUUUCAGUCUCUUUAGCUGGAGGGAGAGAACGUGAUGAGAAUUCCUUUCCCUGCGAAGGAUCGGCCUGUUGCUUCCCCUAAUCUCUCCGUGAAAACCGGCCGACAGUCUUUUCUGGGACAGAGAGAGUAACGCGUCCACACAGCAAGCGAGAUAUAGGACCAAUAGUGAGCACAUUAUACAGCCGUCGGCUAAUGAACGGGAGCCUGUGUUGUUAAAGUGAAGAAGACCGACGCACUCGUCAGCAUGAGGGAAAUAAGCAGAUCCUUUUUUUUUAUUCGAGACCUCACACAUCUGUGGUUUUGUAAAGGUUAGACUUAGUGAAUAAACAAGGGGGUCAGGCACUAUGUUUAUCUUUCUAUCCGUUGACGUAAAGUGGAUCUAAUUUCAGCUCGUGCCAAACAUAAUCUCCCCGAGUUGCUUUGUCGUGUUAAGUCACAUUCUGGGAGGAGAUGAAGCAACCGAGCCGUCACUAUUGCUGUCGACACCUUUCUUUUAUUUCAUCUCAGGGUAUGUUUUUCUUUUAAUACCCCACCACUGGUAAGGAGACACGGCUUUGAUACGCUUUGUCUUAAAGAUGUCUGCUUGGAAACAUCAAAAGAAGCUUCAAACCUCCGGCGCGGAAGCUUUUGUUUGGUGAACACGCACCUUCACGACGGGUACAGCAGGCGGACGCGAUACUUUAAGCUCGCUGGAUCUCAGACAGUUUGACAGGAUCUCCCGAUGAUCUGUCGAGACGGCGACAAACAACAUGGGUUCCUGACAACAGAAAGGAGAUUCGGAGGAACGGAGGCCCGGCGCCAUGUUGACAACACGACAAUGCAAACCUUCAGCCUUCAGGCCCGAACUUAAAACACGUGCCGCUGAUGUCACUGUUCGGAUUCCACACGAAGGCGAUGCUGAGUUAUUUCAUUUAAAACCUUAAAGCCCGUAUUAAAAAUGAAUCCCUCGUUAGUGUUAUUUCUUUAUCUCUAUUUUUCUUUGUCAAGUUCAAAGUACGUCGGACACUAAUGAAGAAAUCGCCCUCUCAAGUGCAGAGAUGUUCUUUAGUAAUCAAACCGAACCAAUCAAUCAGAUGGUCAUUUAGUUAACAAUGAUAUUAAACAGAGAAAAUCUAUGAAAUGUGUUUAAGACACAACAUUUAUUCGGCUGUCAGUGCAUUCAAAUGUCCACAAUAGAAAUUCCAGCCCCAAAGUGGCCUUUAUUGUUAAAAGAACCCCCCCCCCCAGUGACCUCGCUUUGAAUGCUGUUGACAUGUCGAGCACCCAGUGUUCAGUCAUUCGUUUGGUUACACGAGCUCCCAAAUUCCCAGUGAUGAGGUCAAGUGUGGUGUGAUGCCACAAACUGCCCUCUCUGGAGGGUCAGCAGGCUUGACAGCAGGGCAGUUCAGCUUAUAUUGGGGGAGUAAACACAAAGUCGACCCCUGGCGGCGCCGCCGCCACUAGGCCGACAUGUUCCCAAAUUAAAAUGAAACUAAAAUCCUGACAUUUGCUGUAUUUCUGAUGAAACGUGUUGCUGAAGCAGACCAAAUACAGAGCAAUGUAACCUAUUUUAGUAGUAUUCUAGCAUAGCUCUUUUGUAUCUGCUGCAGAGAAAGGAAGCAUAUGUAAGCUGCCUUAUUUCAAGCUGCAGAGGGUGAUGCAGAGGAUGAUGUAAUUAGAAGUAAUAGGCAUGCAAAUUUGUUUUCACCUUUCGGGGGAGGAUCAAAGCGAGAGAGAGCGGAUACAAAACACACAAUGUGACCAGCAUAUGGAAACCUUUGACAAAUGUAUUAAAGGCAUUUAUUAAUUCAACAGGAAACCACCAAUCGAAUGCAAAGCAUUUCAUUUAAAUCCUCCUUGUAACUGUAUCCUUCUCAAAUAACCAGUUUUAUUGGGACUUGAAGCAUUUGUCUACCUUAAAGUUAAACAUGUGCCUCUAUAUAAUUAUAUGAUAUUUAAGGAAGUUUGUUCGACUUCUAAGCGGUUAAAAACGGGAUGAUACAAAUGGUCAGCGCUGUAGUUUACCGUGUACCCUUGAGCUGGUGGACUGACAUUUUGUUAGCCUGUACCUCCAGUUCUCAGAGGUCCUGGUGAAAUGGCGGCAAUUUUUCACCUCCCCGGCAUCACAGACAGCACGCAGGCUUUAGAGCGGAGGCUGGAGCUGAAAGGAGUGCAGCUGGAGUUAUUUUUCUCCUCUCUUAUAUCCAAUGUUAUAGAUCAUCUUCACUUCACCCUUUCACCCACAAUAGGAGGGAAUUGCAACCCGAUGGGUUUUGCAGUUCCUGACCAAAAUGGGUGCAAAGGGAGACUUUUACGGCUGGUUGGAUGGAAACAAAGAGGAAUCUCCAAGGUAAGCAUGCACAGUUUAUAUAUAUAAACAAUGAUAGUGUAACACAUAAAACGUAUUAUAUCCAGGGCAAUUUACAAGAUAAUGAAUUCUUAUUGCAUGGAUUGUUUUCUUUUUGCAGCAGGAAUCCUUCAAAAACCUUUGUAUCUUCUUCCCUGAGCGAACCAUGGAAAUGCUCGACUGGGACGACAGAACAAAGACAUCGGACCUGCUGGUCGUCCCAAAACGUAGAGGUCUGUGGCGCAAAACACAUAAAAACAAAUUGACUUGCCGUAAAAAAUUAAUAUGUCAGAAUGGUUUAAUAUAAUUCAUUUUCAAACAUUUUACCUUUUUGUUCUUCUCCGUCAAAUUCCCACGAAAAUAAGCAGCGUUCUAUACAGUUUAUUCUUUUCAAUCGUUGAUUCUCCUUCAGCCAAAACAACACGUUGGACCGAACAAUCAAUCAGUGGUGUACCAAUUACAACUAUUUCUUACUUUUACACAUUUACAGUACAUUUACACACAACCAUCUGUGUUUAAAAACUGGGAUAACCGGGAUGUUAAGUGGGAUCAAUGGUUCAUUAGCAUCUUGUAUUUGUACGCUUAUUUAAAUAUUUUUGUCAGCAUGUGCGAAAGAUUGUAGGUAAAAGCCGUGAAGUAUUGCAGUUUUAAUAAUAACUAUAGGGCCACUUCCGGUCUGCUAACCAUUGACAGCAUCUGUAGUCAAACUCUCGUAGAGUAAGGAAGGGUAAUCAUUAGCCGAAGGGGAAAUCCAAAGGUCGAGGUUGUUGAGGGAGGCAUGAAACGUGAGGAGGUGAACCCAAAGGCAGGUGAGGUGUCCGGCCGAGGUACCCACAGGUGAGUGAAGGUACAGCCCACCUCUUCUCCCAGCAUGCCAUCGAGAAUGGUGUUCGCCUGAGCAGACUGACAUUAAAGAUGCAAGAGGCAACGUCAUCUUCAACGCCUACCGAUGUUACCUGAUGGUCAGGAACUGACAACAUCAACACGAAAAAACGCACUCGCGGUCUAAAUGUGUAAAAGAUGCAUUGCUUACACAAAGCUCUCAUGACGGAGGAGCGCGCCGCUCUGACGAAUCGUGCAACUCCAAAUGUCAACGUGUGAAGAGAUCACUGUGAGUCGGCUGCGUGGGGAUGCAGCAGGGACGAGGCCGAGAAGAGGAUCAUGUUGAGGGGAAAUUUGUAGAUUCCUGAUUUUCUGUACAUACAUUUCCAAGGAGAAGCUGCUUAAGUCACAGUAGAGCUUCAUUGUUGAGAUUAACAUUCUUUUUUCCACCUUAAUAUCAUUCUAUCAAACGUCCCAGGGAGAACUAGAUGUCAUUUCAACGUCGACGAUCUGGUUGAAAUUAGGUUGAAAUGACAAAUAGACCUUGGUCAAAACGUUCACUUUCGCACCAAUUUGCAACAUCUUUUCAAUGACGGCCACAGACGUUAUUUCAACAAUAUGGGCCAAAGACAUAUACCACAUACAUAUAAGCACAAAGCUCAUUUCCUUGUUUAUUGGUUGUUGGAAGCUUCCCAAAGCUCCACAUGCAUAGUUUACAUUACAGGUCAUUUAGCAGACGCUUUUAUCCAAAGCGACUUACAUUACACUUUAAACACAUGGCUUUUUUCACAUUUUUUUGCCCGGGGAGCAAUAAGGGGUUAGGUGUCUUGCUCAGGGACACUUCGACAUGGAACAUGGGGCAGCCUGGAAUCGAACCACCAACCUUGUGCUUCUCUAACCCCUGCGCCACGACGACAGCAGUUUGAUCUGUUCUUUCCCAAGCCAGGCACGCUGUCUGCUACUACAGUUUUUUUGCCAUUGGAAAGCAGUUUUAAGCUAAAUAUAUCUCGCACACUUAAAAAAAAAAAGAAAACGUGUGCCGCCCUGGUUCUCCCAUGAGGCUCAAAGAUUAAAACUGGUCACCUUGGAGCCACAAAUCUGCUGCGACGGACAGCACAGUUCAUUUUAAAAAGUGAGCGGCCCUUAAAUCAGGAGGUUCUGGGUUCACCUACUUGCGUCAGCAAUCUGCCAUCCUGUUGAGUAAUCCUAGUACGAGUUACAGAAAACCGUCCUGCUGCAGGGCUGCUUUGUACCAAAUUUUCCUCACAUUCCCAACAGAAUAUGGAGGCAAUCUCAAAGAAACCCCCUCCUGUGGCGAUCAAUGUGUUUUUCACCUAAAGAGCAAAGGCCACAGUCAAGCAUUUGAUUUUUAGGUAAACAUCAAUAAGUGAGAGACACGGAGUUGCGCUGAUUUGCUUCGGCGCAGCAGGGUGUGGGAUUUAAAACAUGCGCAUGCUGGUGAAGCACUGAGGUCCUUCCUGAAUGGAUUGGUUUGGGAUCUUUUUGUGAAUUCAGUCACAUUCAGUCAGUGUUUUUGAAUACUUUACUGUUUAGUUAAAAGACUCCUGCAACACACCUUUAAUCAUGCUAACGAGGUUGUAGUUUGGACAAGCUAUUAACAAGGCAAAUCCCAACAUGUAAAAUGAUGAACUACAGACACGUUUAGGAGAAAACAAUUGUGGUAAUUCCCAGCGCACAGUUAACAGCUCACAAUUAUGACAAAGUCAAUUAAUUUGCCGUUGUGUGCAUUUGUUUGUCUGUAUUUGUGGAAGGUGUCUGGACUAUUUGCUGGAUGAGAUUGACCUCACCAGAAAAGCCAACGUUAUGGUGGCUUCCCAUGAUGGAGACACAGAGAAGCACGCUUUUAAUCAUACCACUGCUGAAAAAUUGUUUUUUUUACACAUUUUUUCCAUCUGUACAAAUGAGUAUCUGUUCAUUUUACUCCCUCAUUCAAAAUGGAUGAGCUGGGUCUCUUAGCCGGAGAGAACAAAGUGUCCUGCGGUCAACUCGUGUGCGCGUGUGAUCCGAUCAGCUUCCCACUGGGCGGGAAGAAAAACACACUCAAACCCAACCAACCGGUGACCGGGCCCCGACCGGCCCUGCCCUACCCGGGGACGAUUUGACGGUUUGAGGUCAGCCUUCGCAAGAUACGUAUCCGCCGCCCUUCCCUAUAACUCUCAGCCAUGCCUCUUAAAAACCCUUCAGCUGCACUCCCAUCCGCCCCGCGGACCACUCGGACUGCAUAAAGUGCACAUGCUGGAGUCAGUUUGCAGCCAGCGAGGUGAUGUUUGAACCGGGACGCUCUGGUAUUGAUGAGCUGUCCUAACGCAGCGCUGCCGCCGGCUCGCACCGCUUUGUUAGUCAGUCAGAGACGGACACGGAGGUGGCGGGCGGUUGUCCGUCAAGAUGAAACGGCCUUGACCGGCUUUGAAGGGAAACCGACACGUUGUUUCUUGUGGUUUUCUCAAAAAGAUAAAGCAGUGAGUCCUGCCUCUUCGAAUCUUUAGACAUGGGAGACGCUGCGUGGGAGUUGAGACCUUUGUUAUGUGCCUGUGCUUUACUCCACAUGGUUUUAUUUGUAUUUUUUUUUUUUAGAGCUGCCAUAUUCAGCUUUCAUUUUAUUUUCCGACAUUUGUCUGGUUGUGUUUUGCAGCGGAUUGCGGAUUAGUCAAAAGGACAUUUAUUUCAGCCGAGGGAAAACAGUCACAGUAUGAGAGCCAGACUGGCAGACAGCAGCUUCUCUAAUUCCAAUGCAGCAAACUGAGGUCGCCUGUACAAAUGCAACAAAUGUGCUUGAUUAGAAGGAUCGUAGCAAUCAGUCGACGAGGGAACCGUGUAGAGAUGGCGUCCAGGCGGGAUGUGCUCCCCUGAGCGCGUCAGAAAUUACAUUCUCCUAAAACUGUCCCAACUGAGCAUGCAGCUAUUCCAUCAAAAAUGACAUCUCAACAAACCCUGUGAAGAUAUUUAGAGACAGAUUUAGAGACAGGGAUUUUUCCAAACAUCUUGCCAUUCUCAUCACGUUCCUCUUUUCUUUUCUCCCGUCCCGUCCGCUGCGAUCGCAGGCCAGGCUCGCUUCCCAGUCGAAGUACGUUCCCUACGGGCCGGUGGACGAGGUGAUGCCGCACCUGUCUCGAGGAGCCCAGGAGAACCGAGGCUUCAUGGUGGAACCGAGGGGGGGGGUCUGAAACGCCGACUCGCCUCUGGGGAGCUUCUGUUCUGAAAACACAGAAGAAGAGAGACAGAGAGUGGGGGGGAACGGAAAGUUUGAGCUCCAACAACACUUUUUUUUCUCACGAGUGUCCCAUUCUGCCGCUUCCAGCAUCACCGUGCUAUGGAUGAAAAAACGACACGUCAAAUGUGUUCAGCAGGGCGCUUUUAUCACAGCUGAAAAGAUGCAAAUAACAUAUCACACAUGCUUAAAAUACAUUUUUACGAUUUCCCUCCCAGUCGGUCCGUCAUCGCUGACUGGUUUGGGUUUUUCGUGAUGUCAUUUGGAGCAGUCGGAGAAGAGUGAAGAAGUCACCGGCGGAGGCGGGUGGCACAUUACUCUUACUCUCCUCCUCGAUCACCUAAAACCUUUUGUUCCGUUCCUUGUGUAUAAUAGAUCAUUAAAGCGCUUUCAUGCCUCCUCUUUCAUGCUGGUUUCCCUUUGAAAGGGACGGGGAUGGUGCCGCACGCCUCAGACUGGGUGACAACAAAAAGGAACACAAUGAGUUUCUCGCAACAUUUGCAGUGUAUGUUUCCACAAUACCACAAUACCGACAUUGAAUGUUGCCGUUUUUGGCUAUUUUGGGGUAAGUGAUAUAAUAACAAGUGAUAGUAACGUAAUAAUAAGUAUAAGUGAUGGUAAUAAAAUGCACUGUUUGACUCAUUCACUGAUAAUGGAUGAGUCAAACAUCUGACUUUCCCCCAGGAGACCUCUGUUGAUGAUUCACAUUGAAUCGAAACUCAAUGUUUCCUUUUGCUUGUCAUGUAACUAUUCUAACACUAAUCAUGUAUGUUUUUCUAACCUUAAAAGGUGCUUAUAUGAGAUCGAAAGCCUUUUAGAUUUUCUCUCAACAGCUCUCAGCGGCCGUGGCCAAGCUGGAUGCUCACACCCAGCGGUGCUAAUGGCGCUAAAAGGUGCAAUCGGCAGCAGCAGAGUGGCUGAUGGAGAUAACAUCUCGACCGCCAAUUCAAUCAGGAGACGCUCGGUCCGAACUGACAAACAUUUGUUACGCCUGUAUAACAUUGUAAUAGUGCACAGUCUUUGACGAGUGGACUCCAUCCUAAACCAGGAUAAUCAAGGGGCCUGCGAUGCUUGAGUUCUGCUCGGCAGAAUAUCCCCCCCGGAGUCCAGACACUGGUGGUGGUGGUGAAGAAGGGAGUUGAUGAAAACCAAGGAUGAGUGAAGAAUGCCUGACAGCUGUCUGGAGGUGCCUGGGGGUGGAGGAAGGAGGUCGCAUCCGGUUUUCGUGCUGACACCUGACAGCAACAACGGAGGGAACCCCUUAGAAGGUUUGACAGCAACUAUAUGAUUGGUUUAGAGACACGGCGCCGCCUCCGGGGUUGGUUGUUAACCCCACCAACCAUCAUUGUGCCUUUCUGCGUAUUGGAUCAAAAUCAUUGACUUUCAACGCAGGAACGUGUAAUGGCAACAUUAAUACCAACGCACACAUACAGACAACAUUCGUUCACAGUCAGACAAUCACGCACUGUUAGUAUACUCAAAGGACAUCCUCCUGAACCCGCCCGCUGUCUUCCUCCCAUCACCUCCUGAACCCGCCCGCAGUCUUCCUCUCAUCACUUCCCGUACCUAUCAAUCCGGGUUGAGGGAUGAUUUGGAGCUGCUCAUUGUUUCGAUCAUUACUUUGGACUCGUGGAGUGCAGUAUAGCGGUGAGAAAUGGCCACCUGUUCUUUUAAUAAGAAAAAGAACAAUUGCCCAUCACAGGACGGAUCGGCUACCUGACGCCAAGGGGAAGAAAACCCGGUUUGGUGUGCUCGCUGGUUGAGUGGGGGUACAAAGAUCAUAUAGAUACGUGUGAAUACUUCAGCUAGCGGAGUGUGCAGGUCUCUUUCUCUGCCACAUGCCUCGCAGGUUGCCAUUUUCCUCACAGUUAAAGCUGGAAGUACCUUUUUUCCCCCCCUGGUGAGCAAUGCUUGAUAAUUAAACGGUAAUUAAAAGUUUCUAACACAAUGCUCCAAAUUACAGCGUAGUUUAAGACGUGGACUCUGCAAGUAUGUCAGAAAUGUACCGGCUUAGCAUUCCUCCAUAGAAAGGAUUCUAGAACAAUGCGGCUGGUUGCCUGUUGGUUUAUGAUAACAAAAGGUCACAUUUGAAGAUUGAAACCAUCACAGCAAAUAGAAAUAUGAGUGGGAGGUCAAGAUUUUAAAGGAAAACAGCCAUGUCCUUAGUUUCAUGAAUCUCCAUCUCCUAUCAGUUUAAUAAAAACAGAACCGACAUACGUCAAAUGAGAAUACUAUUCAUCAGAAUGGCCCAGUUCAAAUAUACUACUGGAAUAAUUAGAACUUUAGAAGGUUUAGUUUGCAAACAGCGCUCUGUUGUGUUCUUUUCCUCUCACCGCUUGUGAUGUUGUGUGAAUUCAAUUAACGCAGCGCAGUGACACCGAUCAAAUGAGUUGCAUCGUUUGGAGCUUUUUAGAGCUGUAAAUUAUGGUUUGAGGGUAGUUUGUGCUGUUUGGAUAUUUUUACUCGUACAGUCGGAAACGUUCAUUGCACUUUUGGAACGUUUUGUUUACGAAGAACAGAUCCUAAUGUGUUCUAAUGUGCAUUUUGAUUUACUAUUUAACAGUGAAAAGAAACAAGGAGAAAUGAAAGACGUUUUAAAUGAAAAAUAUUAUUGAUAUUGUGGCCCUGUGCCUGAUAAAAGGUCAAAACCAAACGCGGCCAUCGCAGUACCCCACAAAUGUCAUGCGAAAUGAAUUUUGCCGCCGUGCACAGCAUGGUCGCAAUCUAUAUAAAGUCAACUUUAUUUGGCAGAAAACGGACUUGUUCAGACCGACGCGUGUAAUCGCGAUGUGUUUGCGCCCAUAGAAAGCAGACCGCUACCGCGACGCUCCUCGGUUUGGGGUUCCAAUUCAGUCAUGUCGGAACAGCGGGAGGAACAUUCACCAGACCGGUGAUGCUGAGAUGAAAGCAGAGAUGGUGCAACAGCCAGGCUGCUUUUUCUUGCCGUGGACAAACUGCGAGCGACCAGAUUGCUGUUUGGGUUCUUUUCUGAGGUGCAUUUGUGAGGCACUAGAGCUUAAACCAAAGUAAUACAUGUCCAUCUUAAGCUAUUGGGUCUGAACUGCUACCAAAAUGGCUUGUUUCCCGCUCUAUUUUUCUUACAGAUGUAUGUUUUAGGUUUAUAUUUGUGUUGACUAUUUGUUUAGAUGUUAUUUUCAGUAUCUAAAAUAAGAUUUGUUGAGGUUUUGGAUUAAGUGGAGGUGAGUCUAGAGAGAGUUAAACUUCACAGACCAGCACGUUAUUGCGAUUUCGUUCCCCACCCUGGAGAUCCGAGGGAGCGCCCUCCACGGCUCCUCUCCCCAACCUGCCUCCUCUUUGACAUCUUUCCUCGUUGCCUUUUUGCACCCGCCCCUUGAUGAGGAGAAGAGGUCCAAGUUUGUCUCCUGGCACACCUGAUCUCAACCCCCCCCCCUUGAUGGAGUGGGUGAAGGGCUUAGGAGGCUGCAACUCCUCCACCAUCCUGCGCUUCAGCCCCUUAAAGUGAUCUAUUGCUCGUCGUUCCUUUUAGAACACAGUAAAUAAUUCCAUGAUCUCAAUGGACGUCCUGAAUGAACACGACUGAUUUGACCUUUAAAUCCAAGUUGUGGUUUCGCAUUGAGAUGAGACUUUAGAAUGAAAAGACAUGCACUACGCAGUGGAUGCAUUGAAUAGAGUUAAAAGAAAGAGCAAUUAGGUUAGCGGAGCGUCGUGUCAGCGGCAUUAACUCGUUUGAUUCUCCUUCGAAUCGAAUAUGAGUAAUUGCUUGUUUUAUUUCAGGGUGAUGAGUCAUAGAGCGCCUCCCUUUUCUUACACAACCUCAGGCGGAACGUGACGCCGCAGCCUAUAAGAGCACUGAUUCUUUUUCUUUUUUUCUCUGGGUAAGAGAGCCAUGUCUGGCGAACCCUCAUUGAUUUCUCCCUCUCUCCCUCUCCCUCGUGUUUGUGUAGGCUCCGAUUCUGCGAGCUGCAGGAGGAGGGCGUGUGAAGGGGAAACAAAGUGGACAUCUUAUCCGUCCCCGCUCAGCGUUUCGGACACCCACGGCUUCAUUGUGGCCGUGAUCGUCCUGCCCACAUGAAGAUGCUGAACCCACACGCUGGUUUCGGUGAGCCUCGGGAUGAAAACCCAAGCGUGAAAGAGGAGUUAUCCCGGUGGCAAACACCAGGGGGCAGAAGCAGCCUUCACGGCCCUCCGAACAUCCUUAACGUGGUGUGUGUGACCGAGAGAAAGAGAUCCUCGGCAGCAUCUUCUCAUCCACGAUCCUCAGCCCUAAAAAGACUUUUUAAAAAGGCAUCGUGCCUUCAAACUGACCCAUUUGGGGAGAUUGGUGGGUUGGCUCCUCUGAAUCUUUCCUCCCUCAUUCUCUCUCCUUGCCUGAUGAGGAUUUUGAGAAGACAAGAGGAAAUAUUGGCAAGUUGCUGGGGCACAUUUAGACACGUGGAAGCACCAGCGAUAGUUUGAGGCCGCGGGUGCUAAAAAUAGAGCCGUAAUACCCGUCUCUUACUCUCCAUGAAUUAAAGAACAUAUGGCGGCGGCCCACACGCACAGAGACACGCUUUCUUCUCCUCGCUGCAGUUUCAGAAAGCUCCUUGAAGUCCAAACAUGCCACCAUCACUGGUGGAGAGCACUCCGUUUCCACAGACAGUCGUCAUAGUAAAAACAGUAAUCCCCUCCUCCAUGUUUUAGGGAUUAAUAUCACAUUUAUUCAUUGGCCUAGCGGGAAGACUACUGUCGCAAACGGGCAAAGGCACUCGGACGCACAAGGGUUUGUCUUCUCUUUGUGAUGCCGUGACCCGUGGGUGGCGGAUUGAUUCGGGCAAGGGGAGGGGGGGGGGGACAAUCAGAUCAAAAUGGAAGAGGGAGAGAGCAAGAGAGAGAGUAAGCAAAAUGGGUAGAGAGAGAGAGAGAGAGAGAGAGAGAGAGAGAGAGAGAAAUCUAUUCCAUUUUCAUUUGAUGGAUUUAAGUCUCAUUCAAAGGGACAGACUUUUGACACAUGGAAGAAGGGUUCUCGUUUCCUUGCUUUUAUCUGUGGAAGAACUACGGUGUCUACACGCAGAAUACACACACACACACACACACACACACACACAGUGUGGGGAAACUACCCCCGCACUGUCCUCUCCCUCUCUGCUCUGCACACAAACAAACACCCCUCCAGCGCUGGUCUUUCCUCCCCCCCCAACCCUCCCCUCAUGCAUUUUCCCUCUCCCCUUCUUUGCUCUCAGGCUGGGCUCGGGUUCAGGGGGAGGGGGGGGGGGGUUGCAUUAGCGAGGUCCUCGGUCUCUGGUCUCCAUCACUGAGCAGGAAGAAGGGGUUUCAGACCGAUUAUCUGUGCGAUAAGAGAAUGAUGCUGUUAGGAGGAGGAGUAUCGUCAUGACAGCCUUUGGGCACCUGGGGGGCAAGAUGGUGUGACUCUGAUUUCCCUGCAUGCUCUGCCUGCGUCUUAUCAGUCUUGCUGCAAAGUGCAGGGGGGGGGCGGUGUGUGCGUGCGUGUGGUUGUCCCAGGCGAAGAUUACCUUAGCACUCAUUAUCACUCAUGGUGAAGGAUCAUCACCAUCGCCUGGCCCGGCCCGAGUGGCUCCCGGGCCUCCCUCCGGUUCCUCAGUUCUAAUACCCACACUGGUCUGAGACCAGCGGCAAAGGGCGCGCGAGGAAAAACUGGAAGAGAUAACGCAAAGUAUUGAGCCGCUCAUCGGCGGAGGAGCACACGCCCCCCCCCCCCCCCCUGAAUGCAGGCCACUGCUGGUAUUGUUCCGUCUGACUGAAAGCUGCUUACAUGCUGCACCAGCAGUUUACAAAUCUGUUUUCUGGAAAACAAUUUCCCUCUCGCAGACCUCCCUCACUCUCAUUGUUCUCAGACUCCCGCGUCCCGGGUGGCCAUUUCAGCCAGCUCGCCCCUUGAUCUCAAUUUCUACAAUCGGACGCAUUGUCCCCCCCUCCCCCUCCUCCCCCUCUCCUCCGACGGAAGUCGCAUUGAAGAUCCAUCGCUUUGUGAUGUAAAUGCUGCUAGAUGCACCGCACCUGUGUGGGAAUAACGAUGGGAAUUCAAUGGCGUUAUUGUUGUUUACUGCGGUUUCUGUCGAGGUGAAGAUGAAAACAUUCCGGCAUCCAUUUAAAGGCUUGAAGGUAAAAAUGUCAGAUGGAGACUUCCACUGUGCUCCAGCGCAAAUACAUUAAAAGGGCGAAUUCAUGAGGCUAUACACAGUGGAAAUGUCAUCAUCCAAUUUCAACUAUGACUAAUGAGAUUAUCGUGGUCUGGUUCCCGUUUGUAUUUGGACCAAAUAAAUACUUGUGCCCUUUUUCCACUAUUUGUCCAAAAUUAUUCAAGAAACGCUGUCAUUAGAUCCAAUUGCUCGUUCAAACAUAGUCCUUAAAAGUACAACAGCAUUUAUUAUUCAUGAGUGACUUCACCUUUAUUUUAGUGUUGACUGUGGUGGGUUGUGAAGAAAUGUCAUCGCCAACAGUUCUGAUCAUCGUGCCACACGCCCCGAGAAUAAUACGAUCAACCAACAGACACAAGCGGGAAGGGGAAGAUUUACUCAUGCUUCUAAUGUGCCUUUGACGCGGUUUAAUGAGAACCUGAGCUGUGGAACGUAAUAUUUUUACAGCCCGGCCGGUGUCUGUUGAAACUUUUUAGAGCCCCUCCUUACGCUUUGAGUAUUGAAUCGGAUGAAUGAGCUUUAAUCACUCCUUCGGCGACCCCAGCACAGCAACGCAUGCUUCGAUACGUUUCCCUUUUAAAUUGCAGGAAAACCUAGAAAAAGGUGCAUAAGAAAGCGCCGCCUGGGUGUUUAGACGCAUGUCUGCUUGUGUCACUUUGGCCCACGAGAAGAAUAGAAACGAACCCAAAGGCCAGGAGGAAAGGCAGCAGCGGCGGUUAUUAUCUCAGCUCACUUGACAAUGACACAUGGAGACGAGCCUGUAGACGGAACGGGUUCCAGCACCUCUCGUACCCCCUCCUCCGCAAAAGAACCUGUGCCGGCAUAUCCCUCCCGGCACCGUCGUAGCGCCUCAGGUGUGGCUGAGUUUUCGAACCGAGACCGUUUUGACUUUGAUUUUCGACCCACCAAGUUGCAUCCGUCCUUGUCCGUGCGACGGUGUCUUUACCCCUCCCCAAAAUAUUCAGCGACACGCAUGCCCACACGCGCAGAUUCACCUCGCUCUCCGUCCCCGCCGUGCCGAUUUGACGCACCCUUUCAGUUGUUUAAUUACCGCAGAGGGCCGCGGGACGCGGUCGCUGAUGGGGACAGAAGAGGCUCCGGCCGCUGAGAAAAGAGACGUUGGCCGACCUUGAGGGGGCGACAUUCAUGGCAGAUAUUCCACUCUCACGAAAAAAACUACACACUCAAUUUGAAUUCAAUUUUCCUGUCUUAACUCUGCUUCACAUAUAAAAAAAAAAAAGUAUACAGCGUUUUCUCUAAUCCGCCCACCUCUUACCGCGUCUCUCCCUCCCUCUGUUGCGCACACGCUCGCACUAGACUAAUCUCAUCAACUGUAACGCCGAGCGGAAAUGAGUCCCUCCCUGCCAUUACCGCCUGCCACAUGCACAGGGAUCUCUCACGUUAGAUCCCUCGUUGCUUGUUUUGCCUUGUCUCUAUCUUCCGUUGAGACACACACAGUUCUGGAGAGCAGAUGUAUUUUUUUUCCACAUACACUGGCAGUUCUGUACAGUUAACUGGUCAAUUGUCCGGUGAAACUAAGAUCAGAAACGUAGGUUGAUGUCUUAUGGGUAAUUUAUUCAGACUAUUCCAUUUUUUUACAAAAUGUCAGAAGUUGAUUGGUGUGUUGGGCCUGGGGCAUCGCCAGUUGGAUUGUCGAGUUGUAGUGUACGACUCAAAGUGGCUGCACCCUUGAAGUGGUGGAAGUACAACUCAAUUGCAGAUUUCCAGAAGAAAUCGAAAUGCCUGGGGAGGGGGGCAAAAUGAACCAGGACCACCAGCAAACCAAACACUCAUCGACAAGACACCCAAACCAAGAGACCAAGGACACACAUGGUUUAAAUACACUGGGAAGGGGCAGGUGAUUGGACACAGGAGGAAACAAUUAGGGACAUGCAGACAAUCGCCCACAGGAGAAAACACCAAGGCAGGAAGUGAAGUGAACCAAGGGACACGAGAGGCAGGAAACUACAAAAUAAGACAUUUUCAGUUAGCUAGAUUUUUUUGUACCAUACUGUAAACACGAUCGUUUUUGCCGUAAAAUCCAGGCAUUUCCAACAUCAGGGUUUGUGGGUACUGACUCACUUUUAGAUGCAACCUCACGUGGCCACUUGAGGAACCACAGUUACCGUUUGUAUUUCAACCGCACAAAACGGAAACGUUGGCAUGUUGAAUUGACCCGACGAAGGGUUGCACGCACUGAAAGGUCCCACUGCCUCGACUCAGCGAAAGAAAGGGAUUAACCCCCACUUCUUCCCGGGGAGCAGGGUACUCCACCGACUGUCUUGAGUAUGUGUUUGUGUGUUUUAGGGACAGCCUAUCUGUAUUCUGCAGACUUCCUCUGAAGGUGGGAUGCAGCCAGUAGGUGGAGGGUGGUCUGGCAUUUAAGUGUUUGACACUAUCAGUGGUGUGUGAGCGAGUGUCAGCAUUGUGCGAGCGUGGGCAGGAGGAGGAGGUGUGUGUGGGGGGGUGUGGGGGGGGUAGGGAUUUCCACUGAGCCACAGAGCAGAUGGUGCAGAUGUGAGUAGGUGUUCUCAGUCUCAGCGAGGCCAGGUUUAUCCAGCAUGCGUGUUUUCAGUGUGAGGAGUCAUCUGCGGCUCACUCUCCAUCGAGGAUUCCGCUGCCUGCUAGCUCGUCAGCCUCGGGAUAAACCGCGCACGUUUGUACAUGGGCAGCACAUGCGUCGUAUUCUGAGAGGUGUCGGAAUGAUGCAUCACACGGUGGAGGAGAGGGGUGCAGGUGCAGGGUUGCGCGUUGAGUGUCGAGGCGUGACGCAUCCGACAGCGACGUGUGACUGUGCCUAGUGAAAUUAUGGAAAAGGGAGGCUGAUUCCUCUUAAUAAAAAACGUUUCCCCAAGCAUUUGGUGCCGUAAUAGCAACUCUUUGUCCCCCAACUUUCAAUUGUCGUGGAAAUGAAGUGGCAAGGUCAAAUGCAGCCAACGUUUUGGCCCACUGUCCGAUCAUAAUCAACUAAAUGACUCUUCCACUACCGUCCCUAAGUAGGUUUUUUGUUAACCUCCAUGACGCCUUUGUGGUCGGAGCCCCCCAUCACCCACACUUCAUUAAUAAAUGUAUGAAACAAUUACUCCACCAGUUAAUUAUUUAAGUCUCCAAUGAAUUAAGCAUCCAAGCAAUCAGCCACUUAUGAGUCAGUCAAUCGCUGUUGAUCCACCGGAGGCAUCCGGCUCCUUUCUGCCCUUCUCCCACUUCGAUAGAUAAUGGAGAUGGGAGCGUCUGUUGUUCCCACCUACACCGUAGCCCGGGGCCAAUUUUCAUCAUUACUUCCAUGUUCUCAAAGUAUUCUGCCGUGGCCUUUCCCUGACACGUUGGUGGAUUUUUCAGUACCUGACAAUGUCAGGUAUAGGCUUGUCGGGUAUAAUCAGCUCAGACAUGCUUUGGCCUCAAGAAAUCCUGUCUUCGUAGUCGUUGCUCACCUGGCUUGAGGUAAGAUCCACGUGGAGCUGUCUGGCUGCAAAUGAUGGACUUCUUCCAAGUGAUCGUACCAGCUGGCAUUUAGAAAUGUGGUGAGUUAUUGCACCAUUUAAAAUAACUUUUGGAGGGUUUCAUUUUGAAAAGCAAUUCAUUGUGUAAAAAGGCACAGAUGCAGAGUAUUUUAAUGCUAGUUGGAUUGUAUAUAUUUGACGUGUGGGCAGCAAUGUAAAAAGAGUGGGUUUCAAAAUAACAGAAAAAUGUCUUCUAAAAGAAAAAGUUAAAUAAUGAAGGAAAUUCAAUUUGUUAGUGCAUCAUAAUACCAACAGGGGAACAUGGGGAGAAAACACAAUUAAACUCCACAGGGUAAAGUUUGGCUCACGCUACAGGAGUUUGUGCCCAAUUUAACCCUGAUCCUCCCCUAAUUGUUUUACUAAUUGACACAUGUUAUCAUAUUUUUACUAUACAUCCUCAUGGAUGGUUUAAAUGAAAAUGUGUUUCAAUUAGCAAUUUCAUUAAACAAUGUUUUAAUUAUCUGUAAUUGGGCUGAGUAUAUAAUUAUUCUAUUGUCACACCUCAUGCUUCAUCGUUUCUACCAACACAGCAGAAAGUGCACCAAAGAAAAGAAGAGGAGUGAAUUACACCCUGUCCAUGUCCCUGUAAUGGACAUGGACAGAAAAGUUCGGUAAGUGCUCUAACGAGAGAUGAGUCAGCUGCCUAAUUAGGACAAAGAUCCGACAAAAACACGUCAAAAGGAGGUAAUGGCCUAGUUUCAUUCUGUGUGUAUUCAUGCGUGAGAGAAAGACUGCAGCCAAAUUAUCAAGGUGGAGCUUUUCUUCCAAACCAUGAAAGGGUGCGGAAGAGAAAAUGAUCAAUGUUGAAUCUAAUUCCAUGAAGUAAUUGAGUCAUGAGAUACAUUAUGAAUUUCUUCUGCUUUGAUUGACCCAGUGAAGUCUGUCCGUGUUACAGCCUCUUUACAACAUAAUAACCAAACUGAUUCAGCCACUAAAUUGCACGUUAGCACCAUCUGAUAUGCAUCAUUGUGUGUCGGAUUACGUUGGGCCUUUGAUGCAAUAUGCUCUGGCUCUAUGAAAAACUCGGCCUGCGGUCAUUCCUCCCUUUUCUUCCUUUCAUUAACUCGGUUUCAUUAUGAUUGUCAUCCUCCUUCCUCCAAUUAUUUUACUCUAUUUUUAAUUUCCAUUUUCUCUAGAUCUUCCCUUUCGCCCCCACUUUAGCAGAACACUCUGCUCUCUUCCAUCCUGCACUUUCUAAUGCAAACUCCCGCGACCCCUCGCUCCCUGCCCUGUGAGAAUUGCUGUGACCGAUCAGACGGGCCCCCGUGGCCCAGAGGACAGCGACCGAAGGCGACACGUUCAAUUGGGGAUUGAUUAACUUACGAUGCGCCGCCUCCAGCUGACGGCAGGUGAGAUACCUGGAAAAAAAAAGGCAAACAAACGCACGUACUGGCUUUCCUAUUAGAUGUCCACGCCGACAGUCCUUCAUGCUUUGUGCGUGAAAAUUCCGAACUGAUUGGGCAGAAAUAGCUCCAAUAUCCUUAAAAGUCUGAUUAUGCUUUACGAACAUAUUUGGGAGGAAAGGUAAUUGCUGCAUUGAUUACAUUUACUGCAAAUGUUUUCUACAAUCCAAAGUGUUUUUCUCAUGCACUCUCACUGCCUGGCCCUGCAUUACCCGCCAUAAAAGAGACCUCGAAUAACAUCAACAGGAGAUAAACACACUAAAUUGGAGAGCUGAUAUACAGCAAAAGACACCCAGGCGCGUAAUGCGACACACUUUCCGGCAGCCUCGACGACAGGCUCAAAGCUCUCGGGCAAUAACAUCCGCGAGCAGCUGGUGUGCGUUGCUAAAAAUGGGAGUUGUCUCUUGGAAGUUUAGCGCACACUUCCUGUGUGUGCACGCUUGCACCAGCCUGCUGUGACCGCGUCAGAGGAGCUUUGGGCUGGUUGGAGAAGCAGCAGCCUGCUUGGCAUCUGCAUUGGGGGUGAGUAGGUAAAAGCUAAAUGCGUUGCAGGGGAGCAGCAGCUGAUUCUUUAUUUUAGGUGGAGCGAAAGCAGUAAGGUUUACAUGCAUCGGCAUUUCAUGAUCGCGCAUCAAAGGAAAAACUACAAUCCUGAUCAUUUAUUCUGUUCAUCACGGCCAUUCAAUCACCUUUUGAUGGUCAGUGUCUCCUGGGGCUGUAACAUCCGACAUGUUGGCCAUUCACUUUAACGUCGCAGUACAAUGUCGUUUUUCAGGGAAUGAUACGAUAAAUUUGAUGUCCAUGCAGGGAGAGAUUAUUGCAACGUGUAAACCAAUGGGAGAGCUAGAGGAGGAAAGAGGUUAUAUGUAAAGUAAGUGUCACGGGGUGGACGAUUGGGGACAAUUGAUUGCAUGUUUAUUGAUUUAUGAUUGCAUGGUUUACGACUUGUUGAUUUGUGAUUGCAUGUUGGACAAUCUAUCGUGUGCUUUGGGUUUUGUUUGAAUUGUGUCCUCAAUUGACAAUCGUCCCCAACAAAUUAGCAAUUAGUGGCAUAUGCCCAAAGGACCAAUGGGGAAAGGCCAGGGGCGGAACUUUGUCUUUUUAAGCAGGAAGACGGGACACUGGCAGCACCAGCAGCAGCAGCAGCAGCUGAGGGCAACUGGCAGUCAGACGUCCGAACCAGUGCACCAGGGACGCGCAGGACUUUGCUCCUCCUAUUUUAGCUCCCUUUUAUAUAUUUUAAUCGUUUGUAUUAAAAUAAAUAUUCUUUUAGUAGUAUUUUCGCCCCUGUCUCCUCUUGGGUCAUUGUUUUACUGCUCCCCUCCAAACAAACAAACCUUUGUUUUUUAAUUAUUUCGAGUUCCCAGGGCUUUUACCUAGGUGGCGUUGUUGGCAACACACUUUUAGUUUUUAAGAAGAACCUCGGCCGCUGACAUAAGCACAUUUAAUACAAUUAUAUAACACAUAACGCAUGGUUGUAGUGGGCUACACUCAUAACUAAACCAACACUUACUGCAGAGUUCAGUCAGCAAUCUAAUAUCUACUUAUUAAAAUGGUAAACAAAAAAAGCAAUCAAUGAUUUACCCAUUACUUAAGCAAAACACACACUGAAAAAAAAAUCAAAAUCCAUGCUUGUGUGCAAUAAAAUGUCACGGCACAUUAGGAGGCAGAGAACUCUUCAGAUCACGCUCGCAGGCUAAUGACAUCUGUCGAUACAAGCAGACAGUCCUUCAUCCUGUGUCAAUAGCUGGAAGCUACGUGUCAGUCAUUUGCAGCCGCGCUAAACUCAUAAGUGCCACUGCAGGGGAGCUAUGACACGCUUACAUGCAUAAUCCGCCAACUAUAACCACAUAACACGUGCGAUUAGCCGCGCUGCGCGGGUGCAGCGGAGGACCAGAGGAGCGGACCACUUCAAUCGGGUUUUGGCACAAUGAUGCUCAUUAAUUACAUGGACGUAAUGUCGGCGUUAACUGUUUGACAUUAAGAAAAGUGACAACUGAUGAAUUGUUUUCAUUUCUGGAUUUGAGUGCCCAUCUGAAAACAACUCGACACUUUGCUAUUGACAAAAUGAUGAUGUAACAUGUCUCUGUUCUCCACAGCCUGUCCUUCUUUUGCUAUCUGUUCUUGAACAAUAAUAAUAAUAUCGUGCUGCAUCCGCUGUACCCAGCGGUGGUGGGACACUGUGAUGUUGAACGUAUGAAGGAAGGUGGAGAAAACCAGCAACUAUUGAGCCAGUUAAUUAAGCGAGUGCAUUCCAUUAUAGUUUGACACUCACAUCGUACAGUGUGUACCUAAGUGUCACAGAAAGCAUUGGAUACUAGCAGCUAAAAUGAGCCGGUCGAUCUGUAAAUGCGGUUCUGUCUCAUUCCUGGUUAUUUAAUCUCGUUGUCAGGCAGGUAGAGGGACGGAUAUAGUGUGCAUGCCAUUUUUUGUGCGUACAUGUGUUUUUCCACACAUGUGAUCAGCAGAGUGAUGAUUAAUGGCAUUUAUUAGACCAAGCCGCUAAAUUGUUCCCGCUGGCUGUUAAGCAGACAAAGGUCUAACGUCUGCUCAUUCUCUUCCCCCAACUCCCCCAAGACCAAACGCUGCCUCGGUGGGACUGAUUACGCCAAGAAACAUGCAUAAAUCAUACUUUGUCAAUUGUUGGGCCUAUUCAUUAUGUGUUGCACCCCACUUGGCUUUGCAAUUACAUUGAUUCACAAGUACAAUGCACAAUAGGUCUGUUUACCCUCGGUGUUAUCCAUGCAUGCAGGUGCCAAUUGCUGUACCUGGCAGCCGUAAUGCUAGAUGUGGGGUUUUGCAGUGCUUGGGUGUGUCUGCAAAAAAAAAAAACAUUAAACGUAUGGAUCAUGCAGGAUCAGCUUUGUGUGGGUGUC